RNAcentral lists this ribosomal RNA (561 nucleotides) under uncultured Flavobacteriia bacterium. RNAcentral's name for it is "bacterial SSU rRNA". It matches the Rfam family "Bacterial small subunit ribosomal RNA", at positions 8 to 570 of the family's 1533-position model. Lineage: Bacteria; Pseudomonadati; Bacteroidota; Flavobacteriia. The record is from RNAcentral.
AGAGUUUGAUCAUGGCUCAGGAUGAACGCUAGCGGCAGGCUUAACACAUGCAAGUCGAGGGGUAUAGUUCUUCGGAGCUAGAGACCGGCGCACGGGUGCGUAACGCGUAUGCAAUCUACCUUUUGCAGAGGGAUAGCCCAGAGAAAUUUGGAUUAAUACCUCAUAGUAUAUAGAGUUGGCAUCAACAUUAUAUUAAAGUCACAACGGCAAAAGAUGAGCAUGCGUCCCAUUAGCUAGUUGGUAAGGUAACGGCUUACCAAGGCAACGAUGGGUAGGGGUCCUGAGAGGGAGAUCCCCCACACUGGUACUGAGACACGGACCAGACUCCUACGGGAGGCAGCAGUGAGGAAUAUUGGACAAUGGGCGCAAGCCUGAUCCAGCCAUGCCGCGUGCAGGAUGACGGUCCUAUGGAUUGUAAACUGCUUUUAUACGAGAAGAAACAUCCCGACGUGUCGGGACUUGACGGUAUCGUAAGAAUAAGGAUCGGCUAACUCCGUGCCAGCAGCCGCGGUAAUACGGAGNAUCCAAGCGUUAUCCGGAAUCCUUGGGUUUAAAGGGUCC